AGUGAACGCUGGCGGUAGUCCUAACACAUGCAAGUCGAACGGCAGCACAGUAAGAGCUUGCUCUUACGGGUGGCGAGUGGCGGACGAGUGAGGAAUACAUCGGAAUCUACUUUUUCGUGGGGGAUAACGUAGGGAAACUUACGCUAAUACCGCAUACGACCUACGGGUGGAAGCAGGGGAUCUUCGGACCUUGCGCGAUUGAAUGAGCCGAUGUCGGAUUAGCUAGUUGGCGGGGUAAAGGCCCACCAAGGCGACGAUCCGUAGCUGGUCUGAGAGGAUGAUCAGCCACACUGGAACUGAGACACGGUCCAGACUCCUACGGGAGGCAGCAGUGGGGAAUAUUGGACAAUGGGCGCAAGCCUGAUCCAGCCAUACCGCGUGGGUGAAGAAGGCCUUCGGGUUGUAAAGCCCUUUUGUUGGGAAAGAAAAGCAGCAGGUUAAUACCCCGCUGUUCUGACGGUACCCAAAGAAUAAGCACCGGCUAACUUCGUG
Molecule: ribosomal RNA, 492 nt
Filed under: uncultured bacterium
Lineage: Bacteria
Description: partial 16S ribosomal RNA
Rfam family: Bacterial small subunit ribosomal RNA
Source: RNAcentral